This is a long non-coding RNA of Haliotis rubra (blacklip abalone), 212 nucleotides long. RefSeq lists it as uncharacterized. The transcript has 2 exons. NCBI's taxonomy places the organism in Eukaryota, Metazoa, Mollusca, Gastropoda, Lepetellida, Haliotidae. The record is from RefSeq and is a predicted model, not a curated record.
UCAAUGUAGGGCAAAAGGUUAACUUUGAGGUCAAAUAUUCAAGGGAGAUAACCAACACUACCAACGGGAAAGUUUGCCCGAGAGGUCGUCCCUGGCAAGGGAAGCAACUUCCAAUGCAACCAGUCAUGAACCUUCUGUUAACAUCUUUACAAAGAGCUUCCCAGCAACUCCAAGCUAUCACCCAGUUUGCUAGCUGCAGAUUUAUAACAAAA